Long non-coding RNA from Pezoporus flaviventris, 1758 nucleotides. RefSeq lists it as uncharacterized. The record is from RefSeq and is a predicted model, not a curated record. NCBI's taxonomy places the organism in Eukaryota, Metazoa, Chordata, Aves, Psittaciformes, Psittacidae. The transcript is spliced from 3 exons.
GGGUCCUGGCUCCCGCCGUUCCAGAGCCAGAAGCUCCCAGGCGCUCGUCCUAGUUGUUCCUAUGGACCCCCCGCAGGAGGAGCACCGCCCAGUGUGCGGGACAGCUGUGUGGGGAAGCCGUCCUCCCGUCAGGGGGCUUCCAAGCGGGUGAUGCUUUCUGCGAGGGAGAAGAGCGCCGCUUGUGUGGCCCUUUUGACGUACCUGUACUUGCAGGUACAAAAGGUGCCUCUGCUUACUGGUGGGAGAUGCUUGAGAAAGCCAUGGUCCAGCAGGCCUGUGUCUUAUGGGUGUUCAGGCAUUGGAGCAGACUUCCCAGGGAGGUGGUGGAAUCUCGGUCCCUCAGACGUUCAAAAUUCAUAUAGGUGAGGCCCUUAGGGACAUAGUUCAGUGGUGGUCUUGGCAGUCCUGUGAUUUGAUGUUCUUAAAGGUCAAAUCCUAGUUGGAUUUGAUAGUGUUAAAGGUCUUUUCCAACCUAGUUGAUUCCAUGAUUCUAUUAUACUGCCUUUAUUGUGGUUUAUCCUAUUUUCUAGUCUUAACUCUUACCAUUGAUGCAAUGUGCAGAGUAUCCAGUCAUCUGAAGUGGUAUUCUGGUGAAAUGGACAAUGAAAUUAAAUCUGUCCCUUGAAUUGAAUGUCCCUGAUUGCCAUAUUUUUGCAUCUGGUUUCAGCAAGCUUUUAGAGACAAAAAUGCAGGUGUCAUUCUUUUGAGGUGUAUGCCUCAGUAACUGCUAAAACCUGGUUUCAUGAACUACAACAGGAUGAGGCUUGCUGCAUAGUUAACUGGUACAAGUCAGUCUCAGAACUGUGGGCUGGACCAUGUUCCUAAGCCAUGCAGGUAGCAACAGAUGCCUCAGAGCUUUCUGAACCACUUAGGUCACUGCAUGGCUGCAUCUUGUAGCCAUUCAUUGUAACAAAUGAUUUUGCAACAGCUUUUCUCAGAAUGAGAAAGUUCUCUUUGGAAACUGGCAGUUCCUCUUAAGAUUCCUUUCUGAAGCUGAUCGUAAUCUUCUCUAAGGCAUGGGUACAUCACAAGCUGCUCAAGUGCAAAUCUGACUGCCCAGAUUUAGUGUUGGCACCUUGUUGCUGAGGUCAUGGCUCACAGAAGCCGUAACAGGACUCCCAGCUACAAGCUCACAUCCCAGUGGAGCAGCUGCCCACCUCACUGCUUCCUAAUACACUGUGCAUUUGAGAUAUUGAGAGUGUGGCAAAUCUGUGUUUGCACAAUAGGAGCAAGUAAUGAAUGAAAGCAGUGAAAGACAGCGCGUAGAUAGAGAAAACAUAGUUUCUUUGACUCUCAGACAAGUUACAUUAGACAUUGGACUUUACACAAUAAAACCUCCUUAUCAGUGGUAAAUGGUGACCAUCCCACAAAACCAGAUUUCAGUAGGUGUUUGUUCUGCAGUAUGAAAAAAAGGAUUCAACACCACAUUUUUUCUUUUUUAAAAGUAAAACUGCUUUUUGAGUUGAUGAGCUAAUUACACAGAUACUGGAGAUGCUGUUCUAAGUAUUGUGCUGCUAUUCUCAUUUUUCAAAUUAAUGACUCACUCCUUGAACAGCUGAUUGUGUUUGGGUUAAUGACCAAGGGCAGACUCUUACUGUAGAUCAGACAUACUUCAGGUAUCAAAAUUAAUUUCUGACACAUUUAUGCAUUGCUACAAGAUGUUUCAGUUUCAAAGAAUUUGCAGUUUUCACUGGUAAACUGCUUAGUCAAACUAUUUCUUAAAACAAGGGAACUGAAUUUUAAUAAAAGUGAUGGUAA